This 1266-nucleotide long non-coding RNA is filed under the name Vitis vinifera (wine grape). Its description in RNAcentral is "long non-coding RNA (VVIN_LNC001986)". Lineage: Eukaryota; Viridiplantae; Streptophyta; Magnoliopsida; Vitales; Vitaceae. The record is from RNAcentral.
AUGCUUCUGGAAACACAACCAGUUGAGAUCCAUAUGAAGAUGCUUCAGCUAACAAUCUCUCUGCCUUAUCUGUUUAUACAACAGAGAUUAAUUCCAUUAUACAAAUUGCUUUGAUUUUCAUCAACACUUCAAUAAAAUUUAAAGUGAACCAUUUGUUUGGUUGCAGAGGAAAUAAAGGCAAAGAAAAGAAAAAAUAGUUUAAACACUCCAGGGCCUGUUUGAUAGCAGGAAUCAGAAUUACCACCCUUUUAAAAAAACAUAGGAAAAGAGAAUUGGCAUAGGAAACAUAUUCAGUAAUAAGAUUCCAAAAAUUGCUUUGGUAAAACAUCUUACUGGAAAUGGAUUAUUUUUCUUUAGAAAAUGUGAUAAUUUUGUUUUCAUAUUUUAUAAAAUUCAAGCAUUUUGGUAAUUGAAAAUGAUCCAAAAACAAAUCUAUCCAAUGCUUGUUGCAAGCACUCUACCAAACAAGCCCCACAAUUUUGUUGUUUCAAAUUUCCAGAAAAUGAAGUGCGCUCAAUCUUAUUUCACUGGAAGCUUCUAGCUUUUUGUUUCCUAAGGCCCCAAAUCACGAAAUUCCCAAAAUUCAAAAUCUAGAAUUCUACUAAUCAUCGUUACAGUCCGUUUCGCAGUGAUUUUAGGAAGUGUUUUUAAAUUUUUUAACACUUAAAUUUUUUUAUCAUUUAAGUGUUAGAUAGACUAAAAAGGUUUUUUAGAAUCACUACCGAACGCAACUCGACGAAGUUACAAAACACUACAAUCUUAACUACGCAACAUAGAUGUGUUGUGGAUGACCCCAACACAUUCUUUUGACCAAAAAAAAUAAAAUUAUAUUCCGAUUAGGAAUUUGAGAUUCCUCCCAACAAGAUCACCCCAAUUUGUUGGCUGAGAAAUAAACGAGAAAAUAAAUUACUGUGAACACCGUGUUUGUUUGCACUGGUCUCCCAAUUCAGCAAAAAGACAACUCAAAAGAAAAAGCCAAAACAACUUCAUUAACCCGAGCAAUGAAGAGUUGCAAUCAAAUUGGAAGAGGUAGGCUCAAAACUCAAAUUAGCAUGCAUUUUCUUUUCUAUAUCAUCCGAGCAACCAAAGAGAAAAGUUGGGGGAAGGAGAAAAGAGAGAAGGUGGUAAAGAACCGAGAGUGGCAGGAGUGUCGUAGAAGACAGUGGAGGCCUGGACGACGGUGGCUCGGACAGUGGGUGCGGAAGAAUCUGCGCCCAUGUCCACUUCAGCGAAGAGUGGCCGGUCGUUCACUGUGGCUGGUAUGAG